Long non-coding RNA from Oryzias latipes (Japanese medaka), 2325 nucleotides. RefSeq lists it as uncharacterized. NCBI's taxonomy places the organism in Eukaryota, Metazoa, Chordata, Actinopteri, Beloniformes, Adrianichthyidae. The record is from RefSeq and is a predicted model, not a curated record.
UCCACAAGAACACAAAAAAAAUACUAAAAAACACGAUUUUGAAUUUCAAAAAACUUUUAUUUUCAUCUUUCUCUGUUCGCAUGCAUCCAUCGUGCUCUUCACAUGACCCACUCUUGAACAGGUUCUCGUACCUCUGUCAGUAGAGCUCAUCAUUGUUUACAAAUUUUCCAUCCAACUUAUUGACCGUUUUAAAUCUGUUUUGGAAUUUUAACAAAAAAAAGGUCAAGUUCAAAGGAGGGAGGACAGUGGGAGCCAAAAGCGUCCGGGUGCAGCCCACACACAUCCUUCAGGGGUCAGCGCUGAACUCACGGCCCACUCCUCUGUGUGGGGAGCUCUUUGUGUUUUCUCUCUCUGUGUCUUGGCCUCAUGAAUAAGCCCCUCGCUACAGUGGGCCUCAGUGUGACGGCAGUUCUUCAGCAGGACAAGAGGCACAAGGGGGAUAAAAGGGACUUUAUCUGAGGGAAAGGUGGGGCAGGUGGAGGAUACUUUAAAGACUUUCGGUGACCAUCAAAUUUUAACGUGUAAAAGCACAAAUCGGCAGCUGAUUGAAGAUUUUUCUUUGCUCCUAACAGCUGGGGGCUGAAACCUAAACAUGUGUUUUGGACAAACAGAAACCAAAACCACCUCUUGCAUGUGAAAUUCACCCAACCCAGCAAACAUAACUGAUCUUGGUGUCAGAAGGCAACCACUCCUUAAAGCUCUAAAAAGGGUUUUUGUUUGGACGCCGUCACACACAUGUCAACCGUCUUGUUUUAGUGGCUCCUUCCGGUUUCCAGGGAUCCUAAAAGUGAGCCUUGAGGGAGGUGGGAGCACAUUCAUGACCUCUCUUCUACACUCCCACAUUUCACAGUCAGCUUUUUCUUUUUCUUUUUUGCAACAUAAGAAAACAGAUCCAGGUUUUGCCAUUAGGAGAUUUCUGGAAGCUUUUCUUAAGCUACAGGAAGAAGGGCUGGUUCUAAUGAGUCUUAUCCAACGUCUUGUAGGACAACACCUAUAUUUUUAUAGGUGAUUAGAAACUGACUCAGAUGGCCUUUUGGAUUGGAGGGCCCUGGGAAACGGAGUCAGCUGACAACGCAGGGAGGUCUGGGUGUUUUUGUGGGCUUUGUGUUGGCCAGACGCCCACUGCACAUCCAGCGAGUGACCGCAGCGCAAACAAUCCACUUCUGUGGACCGGCCAUGAGGAACCUGGGAGACCAGGGAGGAAGUGCCGUUUCUGACAGAUUCAGAAAAAAAAAUGUGAUUUAGUGAAAAAAUAAAUCUAAAUGUACUUGAUCCUAUACAGCUGAUUAGCCAGCGAAACUGAAAUGUUUUCCAAACACGCAAAGGGUUUUGUUUUGUUUUUUUACUGUACUUUCUCUUCCUCAUUCCAUAGUCUCAGGACUUCCUGUUGUUCUGUGUUACUUAAACUCACAAUCAGGGACGUUAAGAGGCACAGAAAUGAAGAAAAUGCAUUUGCAAAUCUCACAUCAAACUAAUCAAAUAGAUAAAGAGUCAUUUUUUUUAAGACCUCCAAAAAUAUUUGUCUGAAUGCCCAAGAAUUCCAACAUCUGUUAACCUCCUGUUUGCCCUUUCAGAAGAAAGGUUAUUUUUUUGCUCCAAGUAGCUCCUUUGAGAGACUUACACAAGUCUGGUCAUUGAUGUAGAUAAAAUGUCCAUUUAGGCAUUGAACUAAGGGAAUGCAGAUCCUAGUUUGGGUGAUUUCCUGCUUUUCGAAAUUCCUUCAUUAGCCAAGUCACUUUUAAGGUCAAUAAUGUCUUUUUUUAGCUUCUAACUCAAUAAGAAGAACUGAUCUAAUUUUCUAAUGGAAAGAAAGCUCCGUGUUUAUUUACCCUCUCCUUCAGCAUGGGAAAAGACUUUCCUAGUAGUAAUGACAUUUUUUUUAACGCAGGGAUGCAUUUUGUUUAAUUUAGCUGAAAACUCUGAAUAAGAGCAAAUAAUGUAAAUAUUGGGUUGGACAGAUUUAUCGUUUGAGCCCAAACACUGAGAAAUGUGAUGCAGUGUGACCUUAUUUGAACUUUUUGUGCACUUUUCAGGUAGCAUUAUGUGGUUGUAUUCAGUCUUAACACAUCUUGUGCUGUGCAUGUUGCAUUACUCUAAUGAAAUCACUUGUUCAUUUUUAUCUUUUGGUCUCACCUUUUUGUUCUUGGCCUUCGUCUUACUUAGUUCAACUCUUUCCUAGACCUUGUAAACAUUCACCUUUCACCUGAUUGUCUUCACAUCUCCGUCUUUGUUCUUUUGCAGUGAUGUACACAGCGCUCUUUACAUUGUUGUAGGAAAAGCCUAAACUCUGUUAGAGUUAGCUGGUCUUCAAAAAAAAAAAAAAAA